Molecule: ribosomal RNA, 692 nt
Filed under: bacterium SM98
Lineage: Bacteria
Description: bacterial SSU rRNA
Rfam family: Bacterial small subunit ribosomal RNA
Source: RNAcentral
AUCAGAUGAGCCUAGGUCGGAUUAGCUAGUUGGUGAGGUAAUGGCUCACCAAGGCGACGAUCCGUAACUGGUCUGAGAGGAUGAUCAGUCACACUGGAACUGAGACACGGUCCAGACUCCUACGGGAGGCAGCAGUGGGGAAUAUUGGACAAUGGGCGAAAGCCUGAUCCAGCCAUGCCGCGUGUGUGAAGAAGGUCUUCGGAUUGUAAAGCACUUUAAGUUGGGAGGAAGGGCUGUAGGCUAAUAUCCUGCGGUUUUGACGUUACCAACAGAAUAAGCACCGGCUAACUUCGUGCCAGCAGCCGCGGUAAUACGAAGGGUGCAAGCGUUAAUCGGAAUUACUGGGCGUAAAGCGCGCGUAGGUGGUUCGUUAAGUUGGAUGUGAAAGCCCCGGGCUCAACCUGGGAACUGCAUCCAAAACUGGCGAGCUAGAGUACGGUAGAGGGUAGUGGAAUUUCCUGUGUAGCGGUGAAAUGCGUAGAUAUAGGAAGGAACACCAGUGGCGAAGGCGACUACCUGGACUGAUACUGACACUGAGGUGCGAAAGCGUGGGGAGCAAACAGGAUUAGAUACCCUGGUAGUCCACGCCGUAAACGAUGUCAACUAGCCGUUGGAAUCCUUGAGAUUUUAGUGGCGCAGCUAACGCAUUAAGUUGACCGCCUGGGGAGUACGGCCGCAAGGUUAAAACUCAA